This 76-nucleotide transfer RNA is filed under the name Actinomycetota bacterium. RNAcentral describes it as "Actinobacteria bacterium (anaerobic digester metagenome) tRNA-Glu". It matches the Rfam family "tRNA". From Rfam's summary of the family: Transfer RNA (tRNA) molecules are approximately 80 nucleotides in length. Their secondary structure includes four short double-helical elements and three loops (D, anti-codon, and T loops). Further hydrogen bonds mediate the characteristic L-shaped molecular structure. tRNAs have two regions of fundamental functional importance: the anti-codon, which is responsible for specific mRNA codon recognition, and the 3' end, to which the tRNAs corresponding amino acid is attached (by aminoacyl-tRNA synthetases). tRNAs cope with the degeneracy of the genetic code in two manners: having more than one tRNA (with a specific anti-codon) for a particular amino acid; and 'wobble' base-pairing, i.e. permitting non-standard base-pairing at the 3rd anti-codon position. Lineage: Bacteria; Bacillati; Actinomycetota. The record is from RNAcentral.
GCCCUCGUCGUCUAGUGGUUUAGGACACAGCCCUUUCACGGCUGCAACAGGGAUUCGAAUUCCCUCGAGGGUACCA